Molecule: long non-coding RNA, 2105 nt
Organism: Hemicordylus capensis (graceful crag lizard)
Lineage: Eukaryota; Metazoa; Chordata; Lepidosauria; Squamata; Cordylidae
Exons: 4
Source: RefSeq, a predicted model, not a curated record
UGCAGUUGGUAACAGUUGUAAUGCAACUGUUACUGGUCGGAAGAUCUUCUUGAUUGCUGAAACCUCUCUUCUACAAUCUAGCCACCCGGGUAAAAUUCUAUGUUUUCAAGAAAGGCAAGUCCAACAUUAUAUCUCCAUCACCUCUACGAUCCCACACAAUGUCUACUCAUUUAUCACAAGUGCUUCGUAUCAUCCUGGAGCAGGGAAUUUAAUGCCUUUUGCAAUCUCUAUUUUUUGAAAGCUGAAGGAUAAUUAAUGGAUUUUGAGAGAGCCUGAGAGGACUAACAAUAGAACAUUUGCAUGGAAUGACAUUUAGCACACUAUAUUUCACAGAACAGGAACCGGCAAACCUGAACAACUGGAAUUGAUCGCAAAUACUUUAGAGCAGGUUAUGAAUAUUUCCCCCAAUAAAAUAUGAUAAAUGUUUAAGGAUACAUCGGCAAAGGCCACAAUUAUUAUGCAACUAAAUUUAAUAGGGCCUCUGUUUGAGUCCUCAAAGCUUUCUAGUAGUUAUAUCCAAAUUACUAGACAGAAGGAGAAGUAAGGAAUCCCUAAUGACAACUGUGUUUUCCGACCUUAAAGUGGAAGUAAGUCUGAAGUCAGGAAAGCAGAGUCGUAUUCAGGGGCGGAGCUAUAAUUGGGUGGACAAGUUCAAAAAACACUAGCCGACCAACCUUGGGAAGCUGCCUCUCACCUCCCCCACUGGCUAGCUCCUGCUGUCAUUUUUCAUAGCACAGUACAGCUGUGAUGAACGCUGAAAAAGUGACUAUCUUCUCAGCUAUUUUGUUUUUUGCCACAUGAAGCAGCAGUUCAGAGGAAACCAGUAAUGAAAAGAGAUGCCAGUGAGUCAAGCUGUGGGAACCUUAUGCUGCAUAUCGUACACAAAUUCAAGCAGCUUACUACUAUGACUCUAGGGGAAAAAAUGUUUCAAAUGCGGACAAGGAACACAUGUCACUUACCCAGAGUUGCAGUUGAGGAAUAAAUUUGUCCUUCCAGUGCUGUAUUGUAAUCCUUUUGACAACCCUCCAAAGACAAAGAAUCCACAGUUCUUAAUGUAAUGCUAGAUUGCAUAUGCUGGGGAUGUACCCCAACAAAGCAUUAACGUCCUCGGCAGGCAAUGAUUGCUGCUAGGUCACGUUAACAACCUUAUGAAUUUCAAGUCAAAAUGGCACAAUAACUGGACAAGGCCAAACCAUAUGCGUAAGUGUACCCACAUAGAGAUUACACCUUCAACAUCUAGAAGUCUGCAACCAUCCCUUGUUAAACAUUAUCUGAGGUGUACAAUAAAUACGGGGUAAAGGUUUUUGCUGUAUUAGGCUCAUUUUGAGAUCCAAAGAAGCAUGUUUCACUGUCUUCAAAGCAACCUGCCAUUGAUUUAAUCAGGUAGGGUUUUCAAGAUUAUUGUUCCAAAGAUCUUGGAUAUAAUCAAUAUCAAUCUUAUCAAUGUCUUUAAGAUUCUGUUAGAGCAAGGUUACAGGCUUAAGUGCAUCCAAUAGUUCCAAGUCUAAUCCAGUGUUCCAGGUCCAAUAAUAGAAAUGGACUUUCAGAAGCUGCAAUCGCACCAGGACCAAAAAGCUGUGAUUAAAAAAAUGUUUGAGCUGAAUAAACUGCCAGCUAGCAUUUAAAGAUGAAUCAAACUCUGCUCUCAAAGUUUCAAAAGGUUUAAAUAACAGCUUUACAAGAGAUCAAUUGAUCUGUAGUAUAAUGAUGUUGUGGGAAGCCCAGUUAGCCCAAUAAAAAGAUUUACGAGCAAUCUUCAAACAGGGAUUCUCCCACUAUGGAAGCUUUUCAUUCUGGAAAGGAUUGAAGCCAUGUCUAGAAGCCAGAGUUCUCCAUAUGUGCCUUGCAGCUUUAAACAUCAAUAAUGACCUAGAUCCAUGAACAAACCCAGCACCUUCCAAGAUAUCAGAGGGGUCAAAUAAUAACUUUCAAGCUGUGCCCAAGGCAUGAUCGAAACCUGGGAUUCAUUGUUCCACCCUAAGACUUAAGACAGAAUAAAUGCCCAAUGAGAAGAUUGAAAAUAUGGAAAGUUAAACCUGCCUUCUUCAAUAGGUGAAGUUUACGAAGUGAAAAUCUAGGUAGGUGAUGAGAACUGUGUAUUUUGC